CCGGGACCCGCGCCCGGAGGGGCGGUCGGGAGGUGUGGACGGCCCUGCCCGGGACAGCUCCGCGUGACCUUGGGCCGAGAGGGUUCCCCCCCCAGGCUCCGCGUGUGCCUGCGGGCGCCUGCUGCCGAGGUAGCGCGUCUCCCGGCUCUGAAGCGUGACGUCGCUGGAGAGGUCGCUCGGGCCUCUGUGGUGCCAGAGUCGGGAGCGCUAGGCCGCUCUGGAAAGUUGCUGUAGAAGAAAGGGGAAAAGGAAGACGCUGCUGGAGGAGAUCAGUAGCUCUGGAGACGAUGGAAGUUUACGUUUCUAAAUGGUUUGGAAGGUGCUACAUUAAGAGGAACUGGGAAGAUUCACAAUGGUGGACCUCUGAGGAAUGGAAAAAACAGAAUCAAGACCAGAAGAGCUGGGAAGAUAAGAUGAGCAAGUGGCCCAAGAUGUUCCAGGCAGUGAAGAGACCAAAGGCUGGAAGGUGGCUGGGGUUUCUGGGUGAAGGUGGUGGAUGGAUGGUAUGUGUUGAAGUUAAAGUCUUUCAGGAGUCUCCGAAACAUUGUUGUAAAGCAGAACUCUGUGAGGGCGAGGAGAGCAAGAGAAAAAGUAACAGCAGCACCAUUUUUUUUCAAGUUCUUUUAUUGGUACAUUUUAGGUAUACAAUUCGUUUACAUUUAUCACUGGGUGCUUGUACCUGUACAUGACGUAUCUUGCUUCUUAUUUUUUUCCUCAUUACCUGUGUGCCCUUCACCCCCUCCACCCUUCCCUAUUUACAUAGAUUUCAUUUCCAUUUUUUUCCUUUUCUCAUAGUUUUUCCUUUCCCUCCUUUCCUUUCCCCUUCCCCUCUUUUCACCUCUUCGUCUUUGGACUUUUUUCCUAUUUCAAAUUAUCAAUUAUUCAUUUUAAUCAUUUUAACCCUUGUUUACACUAUCAGUUUCUCACACUGAAACUAUUUGGUAUUUACUUGUGUGUCCUAUUCAUUUCACUUAAGAGUAUGGCCUCUAUAUGCAUCCAUUUAUCUAUAAAUGACUGUAGUUUUUCGUUCUUCAUGGCUGAGUAGUACUCCAUUUUAUAAAAAAAACAAAAACACAUCUACUUUAUCCAGUUUCCAAUUGAUAGGCACUUGGGCUGCUUCCAAGCUUUACCUAUUUUAAACUGUGCCGCUAUGAACAUGGGUGCACAUAUAUCGCUGUGGUAUGAUUCUUUUAAUUCUUUUGGGAAGAUACCCAGCAGGGGAAUAGCUGGGUCAAAUGGGACCUCUAGUCCUAGUUCUUUGAGGUAUCUCCAUACUGAUUUCCACAGUGGUUGCACUAGUCUACACUCCCACCAGCAAUGGAGAAGGUUUCCUUUCUCCCCACACCCCCACCAGCAUUUGUUAUUGGUUGAUUUCUUGAUAGCAGCCAUUCUUUCUGGGGUGAGGUGGAAUCUCAAUGUUGUUUUCAUCUGCAUCUCUCGAAUGACCAGUGAUGUUGAACAUUUGUUCAUAUAUUUGUUUGCUGCUUUUACUUCUUUGUCUGAGAAAUGUCUGUUCAUUUCAGAUGCCCAUUUUUGAAUUGGGUCUUUGAAUUUGGGAGGUCUGAUUUUUUUUCAAUUCUUUAUAUGUUCUAGAUAGUAGUCCUUUGUCUGAGGUACAGCUGCUAAAAAUUUUUUCCCAUAUUGUAGGUUGUCUGUUAGCUCUGUUGGUGGUUUCUUUUGCAGUGCAGAAGCUUUUUAAUAAGAUGAGAUCCCAGUUGUUGAUUCUUUGUGCUAGUUCCCAUGCUACUGAGGUUUUGUUCAUGAAGUCUUUUCCUAUGCCAAUGUCUUCAAAAGUUCUACCGAACUUAUCUUCCAACAAUUUUAGUGUUUCUGUCUUAGUAUUUAGAUCUUUAAUCCACUUUGAUCUUAGUUUAGUGCAUGGUGAUAGGUAUGGGUCUAGUUUUAAUCUUUGGCAGGUUGAAAUCCAGUUUUUCCAACACCAUUUAUUAAAUAGGCUAUCUUUCCUCCAAUGAUGGUGGUUGGCUCCUUUGUCAAAGAUGAGGUGGCUGAGUAUGUCUGGAGUUGCUUCUGCAUCUUCUAAUCUAUUCCACUGAUCCUCAGGUCUGUUCUUUGCCAGUACCAUGCUCUUUUUAACACAGUAGCUUUGCAGUAUAAUUUCAAGUUGGGGAUUGUGAUACCCCCAGCCAUGUCUCUCUUGCUUAGAAUUGCUUUUGCUAUUCUAGGUCUCUUCUUGUUCCAAAUGAAUUUUUGGAUUGUUUUCUCUAGUUCUGUGAAGUAUGUUGUUGGCAUUUCAAUCGGCAUUGCAUUGAAUCUGUAUAGUAGUUAUGGAAGUAUGGCCAUUUUCACUAUAUUGAUUCUUCCUACCCAGGAACAAGGGAUGUCUUUCCAUUUUCUUAUAUCCUCCUCAAUCUCCUUUUUCAGAGUGCUGUACUUUUCAGUGUAGAGGUCUUUUGCUUCCUUUGUUAGAUUGAUUCCUAGAUAUUUCAUUAUUUUGGAUGCUAUUGUAAAAGGAAUUGUUUCCCUGAUUUCUCGCUCAGUGAGUCUUUUAUUUGAGCAGCAUAAAAGUAGGUAGCAGGACUGAGGAUUUAGCUCAGUGCUUCCGGUGCCUGCCUCACAAACACAAGGUCGUAAAUUUGAUCCCCGGUACCAAAAAAAAAAAAAAAAAAGUAGGUCGCAGAAGUAUAAAAGACAAAACCUUCAAAACAAAAAUUUGAAGGGAAAGUUGAGGAUACCUCCAUGGAAAUAGAACAGAUCCACAACAACAAAUGGAAAUAGGGGGAAAAAAUUAAGUUAGCCAGCCAGAUUAUUGAUCAAAUCUGUAAUAGGAACUCCACAGAGUGGUCAGAGAAAAGUGUCAGUAAUUCAAGAAAAGUCUUUUUUUUUUUUUUUUGGCACUGGGGAUAGAACUAACCAUUGUGAAACCACUGAGCUAAAUCCCCGGCCCCAAGAAAAGUCUUUAUGACCGAGAAACAUGUUCAUAGGGCCAGGAUUUAGCUCAGCAGCAUAGCACCUACCUGGUAAGAGCGAGGUCCUGAGUUCGGUCCCCGGUACCAAAAAAAAAAAUGUUCACAGGACCCAAAGAGAGCCCACUACAAGGUAUAUCACCAGUGAGUUUCAGAACAUCAAGGACAAAAAUGUCCUGACAUUAGAAGCAGGUCACAUACUAACUGGAGUCAGAAUGGCUGUGGGCUUCUCCGCAGCAGCAAGUAGAAAUUAGAAGGCAAGAAAACAGCCUUGGGAAAUGUAAAGGAAAAUUCUUUUCCACCCUUCACCCAGGUGAACUAUAAACCUAGUGUAGUCGGCAUCCCUUCCCAGCAAGGAUGUUUCCUGAGAAAUGCCGUCAGGCAAUUUUAUUAUUGUCUGAAUGAACAUUGUACUGUGAGGUCUCAUAAACCUGCAUGGUGUAGGUCAGCUAAUCCAUGUGGCCUCUUGAGCAAUGAAGAGACACAAGUUGCUGCCUUUGUCCUGAGCCUACUAUGUGCUCUAGUUGGACAAGUGUCCCCAGAGGCCCGUGUGUUAUAUAUUGGUCCCCUGCCCAGGUUCUCUUGGAGGUGGAGCCUUAAAGACCUUAAAGGGCCUUGUGAGAGGUCUUAGCUCAUUAAAGGAGUGCCGGUGAGGGGAUAUUGGGGCCUCUGCCUCUUGUCUUCCCUUCUGCCUCCCAGCCCCUCCGUGUGUCUCCUCCGUGUGUCUCGUCGUGCUGUGCUCCACUGCCGCAGGCUGGGAGCAACAGGGCCAAUCAGCCUUGGUCUGAAACCUCCAAAAUCAUGAGCCAAAAUAAAGCUUUCCUGUUUUUUUGUUGUUUUUUUUAAAAAAGAGGAACUGGGAAACAAGAACACAAGGUAUGUGGGGUCUCUAUUAUAUCCACUCCAUGUAAAUCUUUGAUUAUUUCAAAACAAAUUUCUAUUAAAAAAUGAAGGAGGACUCUUCAUUUUCAUAAAGAUCAUGAUCAGACAAAAUGAACUAUAUUGUAUAGAAGUAUGGGUAGUAGAACUGAAGAAAAUAAAAUGAUUGUUAUAAAACUCAGUCUAGUGGCUUCCUCCACAGUGGGAGUAGGAGAUUGUCACUGGGGAAUAGUAAAGGGUGGGUGUUCUUGACCUUCAAGAUCUUUACACUUCUGUAUACUUCAAUUCAUUGAACUGUACAUCUAUGAUUUUAAAACUUUUUAUAAGAGAAGGUGCUGACUAGCAGCCCAUAGUUUGUUGUACCCUAGUCUAGUACUCAAAAAGAUCUCAUAGUUCCAUAAAGUAAAAAUAUUUGACCACAAUAACACUGAAAAUUAAAACUAAAACUAAAAGAUGGUGAGCCUGGAAAUUAAAGCAUCAUGUAUUAAAUAAUUAUUAGGUGUAUGAGUAAUAAAACAAAAAUGGUGAAUUUCUGAAAAAGAACAAUAAUAAAAACUAUGCAUCAGAAAUCAUGGGAUACAUUUAAAGCAAUGAUUAGAGAGUGAUUUAUAUACCUAUAAAAUGAAUGAAUAAAAAUGAGUUAAAUUUCCAACUCAAAAUACUAAACAAAGUACAAAAUAAACAGAUAAAGGUAUAAGAAAGGAAUUACUAAAAAGAUUAAUGAAGUUGAAAACAAAAUCAGAAAUUCAUCAGAUUACUGGCUCCUGAAGAAAUAAAACAGACAAACCACUACAUAAUCAAAGAAGAAAGAUGAAUAAUAAAAUAAGAAAUUAUAUAGAACUAACUGUGAUAGUGGGAAUUUUUUUAAAAGUCACAACUACUUUUGUGUAUCUACCUGUAUGCAUAUAAAUUUGAAACAUAGAAGAAAUGGAUAAUUUCUAAUGCAAAUAUUCUAUACUCAAACUGACCCCAAUCGAAUUUGAAUGUGGUAGUAUAUACUUAUAAUCCCAGCCCUCUGGGAGGCUGAUGCAGGAAGAUCAUAAGUCUUAGCCCAGCCUGGCGACUUAGCAAUUUAGCAAGAUCUUGUCUCAAAAACAUAAAUUAAAGGGCUUGAGAUGUAGCUCAGAAUGAAGGCCCUGGGUUCAAUCCUAGUAUUGCAGGAAAAAAAAAAAAAAAAAAAAAAAAGAACAAAUAACUUCAGUAAUGUACUAGAGAAUGGGCUCUGAGAACACAUUAAGACGUUAAUGCAUCACAAUCAAACUAGAUUUAUAUUGGGGAUGCAAAAUGAUUUCUAUUUUUAAAAAUAAAAUUUACUAUUUAAUAGGCAUCUGGGAAAGAUGAUUUUUCUUUACAGGUGUUAAAAGUUGAUUUUGGCAAAAUUCAACCCAUUGUCAGUUUAAAAAAAAUUGUAAAUAGUAAUGAACACAAGGCAUUUCCAAUGAGGUCAGGAAAUAGGUUAGGGUGCCCACUAACUCCCCUGGAAUCUGGCACUAUCGGAAUGCAACACUCACAGCAGUCAGACUAGAGGAAAUAACCAGAGGUACGGGAGUAGGAAAUAAGUAAGUUUACUCAUAUUUGUAGAUGACAUUGUAGCACAUGUGAAAAAUCCUAGUGAAUCCAUAAUAAAAUGAACUCAAAGAAAAGUCAGUAAAGUAGCAGGAAGUAAAAUAACAUGUAAAACUCAGUAUCACUUAUAUGCACAUACAGACGCUAAUUAGAAGAUACAAUGAAUGCAAAACACCACUGUAAUAAAUGGUAACAAAAAUACAUAAUGAAAAUAAAAAUAUUUAGGAACAAACUUAUCAAGAAAUGCCCAGAACCUAUGUGAAGAAAACUAUAAAAUACUUCUAUGAGACAUAAAAAUAAGUCUGUAAAAAUGGAGAGAUAUUUCUUAUCCUUGAUUAGCACAUCUCAACAUUAUCAGGUUGUAAGUUCUUCCCAGAGUAAGUUACAAAAGCAAUCCCAAUAAAAAUUCCCAUGGACUUUAACUUCUGUAUGCAAAGAGAACAUAGAGUGAGAAAUGCAGAAGAGGAGCGAAGACAGAUGAAAGAGAGAAAAGGCAGAGAGACUCCAAGUGUGGAAAUGGCUUGAUCCCCAUGGCUGAUGGGGAUGGAGGGAGGGGGCCCCUAGUCAGACAAUAGGAGCAGAUUCUCAAAGGUAAGAAACAAAGCCAGCCUAGGCCCUGCAAAGAAAUGAGGACUUCUCAUUUCCCACGGGCAAGUGAACUCUACAGCAAUACUGGGAGUUCCUUCCCCAGUAACACUGAUUUGGCCUUUGGGAGCUAGGGCAGAAAAGCAGCCAGGCCAACCCACAGAACAUGAAAGCACUGUAGGAAGACAAUAGUGCUACAAGCUCUGCUGACCACAAACCUAUGCUCCAAACAAGAGAUGACAUGUAUACAUGCGGUAUGUUACGGAUAAUUACACUGAAGUUAAUUGAAUUUUUAAAAAAUAAGUGAGAAUAGCCAAGAAAGUUUUGACAGAACUAUCAUGAAAGAAAUUUGCCUUACCCAGAUUGAAAAGUUUUAAAAGGUGCAAUAAUGGAAAUGGAAUAGUAUUGUCUCAGGAAUAAACAAACAUAUUGAUGAAACAGAAAUGUGAGCCUACAUAUAAAAUUAUGUAUGUUAUAAAGAUCAUUAGAAGCUGAUAGAUAAAAAUUAUUCAAUAAAUAAUACUAGGACAGUUGGUAAAGUAUUGAGGGAAAUUAAAUUAGAUCUUUGCAGUAUUAAAAGUAAAUCAUAGCUAGAUUAAACAGUUAAAUAUUUUGACAACAAUUAAGCUUCAUUGUCAACUUGUCUUGUGAGCCACUUACAGGAGUAGUAAAGCAUACAUUACUCAAGAAUGGGUCAUGGAGGUGGUUCAUGGCUCCUUCCUCUCUGGUACUGUUCCCUGCUCUGCUUCCCAGCUGCCAUGAACUAAGAAUUUUUGCUCCACUGUAUCCUUUUGCCACGAUGUUCUUAUCUAGGAGCCAGCCAAGCAUGGACUGAAUCUCCUGAAACCAUGAGCCACUCUAAACUUCUCUUCUUUUAGGUUGUGAGUGUUAAGUAUUUUGUUCCAGCAACAGGGAAGCUGAUACAUUUUUUAAAAGCCAAAUAUAAAAUAUUUAUAUAAUCUGAAGGUAGGGGGAAAUUUUCAAAGCAUUAUAGCAACCUUAAAAAUCCACAAGAUAUAGGACUCAUAAAUAAAGACAAUCAAAAUCAUACAUAUAAAAAUAUGCUAAACAAAAUAUGAAUAAUUUGGAGAAAUAACUGCAAACUUACAACAUAGAACUAACAGUUGUAAGAUGUGAAACAUCAUUCAGACAGAAACUUUUUAAAAAUGGGAAAUAUAAAUAACUAAAUGUUUCAACACCAAGAAUGAUCACAAGAGUUUCUAAAAUAUAAGUUCUGUAACAUUGAAAGCAAUCACUUCUGACUGAAAAGUUACUCCUUCAUGAAAUGGUCCAUUGGCUCAUGAUAGCUACAGAAAAUUGAGAAUCUAAGCUGGUGUAAUACUUUUUUGAACUGCAAUUUUUUAAAACUUUGGACCAUGCCAAAGGAGUAUAAAAUUCUAUUGUUCAAUUAUUCUACAUGCUCAUCCUUGAGAUUACAAAACAUUUUCCAGAGUUAAUAGAGAAAUUGGCUUUUUUUUUUUGGUACUGGGGAUCGAACUCGGGUCCUUGCACUUGCACAGCAGGCAGAGAAACCACUGAGCUAAAUCCCCAGCCCAGAAAUUGGCUAUUUUUGAUGAACCCUUAUUCAGAAGGUAAAUUUUAAUAUUCUAACUGAUGCUAGAAACAAAGGAAAAUGUACAUCUGUCAUGAUAAACAUAAGUUCUAUUGGAUCCAGAAUUUUAAGACCUCGUGGACUCUUCUGGACCACGGAGGCCAUCAGAUAUUAUUUUGAAUCUCAGAUUUGAAGUAAGUGCAAUUGACCUGAUUUUGCUUACCCUGAUUUAAACUCAUAUAAAUUAGUGUGAUGGUAUCCAGCUUGAGCCCAUCUUCUCUGAACACUUAAAUGUGGACCCAACUCCAAGGCAGAAGCAGUAAACUGUAGUUGUCUUAAACUAGUGUCAGUCCAUACAUAGAUACAAUUGAGAGGUAUAUUCAUCCAGAGUAAUGGAGUAGGAGGUUGUUGUCAACUUGAUUUUCUGGUUUGUCCUUCCUAUGUUCCUUUUUGAAAUGAUAAGUCCUUAUUUUGUAUUUAAAUUUUUCCUCACUUUUAUGCACAAAAUUAACAUACUAUGUUUUUCACCUAAUUUUAUCUCCAGGAAAUUAUCAGUACAUGGUGCUCCACUCUAUUUUGUUUCAUGGCUGUACAGUACUCCAUUUUGUCCAUGUACCAAGUUGAUGCAACCAGUCUUGAUUAAUGCUUAACAAUCACAAAUAUUUCAUUAGUAACUGUGUAUAUGUAUUUUAUAUUGUUUUAUGUAUGUUCAAAUUAAAUUCAUGGAGAAAUUUCUCUGUUCAGGUUUGGUUAUAAAUGAUUGGUUAGGAUUGCCAAGCCCCCUGCCCUGAGGUUAUGCCAUUUUCCAUAUCCUUUGGCAAUGUAUAGCAUUACCUGUUACCUAACCAGCUACCAACAGAGUGCACAUUGCAGAAUGUAUUGCCAGUUUUAUGGGUAACAGAUGGAACAUCAUUGUAGUGUUCAUUAUUUGUUUUUCAUAUUAAUGAUAUUGCAUUUUUAAUAUUUCAUUUUUACAUCUCUUUUUGAGUAGUUGUUGAAGUUGUUUGUUCAAAUCUGUCCAAUCAUCUUCUUGUGUCUACUUUUUAACUGGGUUGUCUAUUAAUGAGCUGUAAGAGUUCUUUACAUAUUCUGGUCAUAGGUUAUAUGCAUUGUAAAUAUGGUCUGUUUAAGGACUACUUUUUAUUUUAACGAUGUCAUUUAAAGUUCCAAUUUUUUUUUAUGUCAUUUAAAGUUCCAAAUUUUGAGGGAAUCUCAUUUAUCAAUUUUUUUCUUUUAUACAUCGUGUUUUUUGUAUCCUAGGAAGUCCUUGCCUACACUAAAUUCAUAAAUAUUUUCCCUUAUAAUUUCUUCUUAUAGUUUUAGUCUUUCAUAUUUAGGUUCACAGAUCCUUUCAAGUUAUUUUUAUGUAUGGAAAUAAAAGAUUGAGGUUAAUAUUUUAUAUACAGAUACCAGGUGUUCUAGUGCCAUUUGCUGAAAAUGCUAUCUUUUCCUCUGCUCUUGAAUUGAGUUUAUAUUCUAUAAAAUGUUAAUGUUAAAUAAUCCUUCAAAACUCAGUGGACCAUAUAUGUGUGGUUCUAUUUGUAGAUUCUCUGUUUUAUUCCAAUGAUCUAUAUGUCUUUCCUUACACCAACACUGCCUUGAUUACUGUAGCUUUAGAGGAAGUCUUCAAAUUAGGUACUAAACAUCUUCCAACACUGUUUUUUUUUUCUUUUUCUUUUUACUUUUCUAGGCCCUUUAUACUCCUACAUAACUUUUAAAUUUCAAUAUCCAGUUCUUCAUUUAUAGCAGGUAUACACAGAUCUGAAUUUUUAUAUAUACCUUGUGUUUUCUAAUCCUGCUAAAUUCAAAUACAAGUUCUAGGGGCUCCUGGAGAUUUCUUAGUAUUUUCUCUGUAGAUGAUCAUUUUAUCUACAUAUAAAGAUUUUGCUUCUACCUUGCCAAUCCUAUCCUAAUUGUGUCAUUUUAUUGCCACUAUUUUGGUUUGGGCCUAUGUUUCAAAGUUUAAUGGACAGAUGAAGAGUAGGCAUAUCUGCCCUUGUUCCCCACCUUAGGGAGAAAGCAUUGUUUUCUCUAUUCAUAUAUGGUGUUUCUCCUGGAAGUAUGGAGUACAUGUCUUUUAUCUGUUGAGAAGGUUCUGUUCUACUUCUAGUCUCCUAAUAGCUUUUACCAUGAACAGCUGUAGAAUUUAGUCCAAUACUUUUUCUGCAACUACUGACAGGAUCGUGUGGCUUUUUCCUUUCCUCUGUUAAAAUGAUGACUUUUGGGGGUGGAUCUUCCAAUGCUGAACCAACACUGCCAUCCCUAUAACAAAACCACUUUCUACAUACUGCCAGAACUGACUUCUAAUAGUUUGUUUUCUUAAACAAAUUUCUACUUAUGUUCAUACUUUUUUCUUCUAUUAUCUUUAUCCAGUUUUAGGAUUAGCACAGUGUUGAUUUCCUAAAAUGGGAGAAGUGUUCCUUCUUUUUUCUGCUUUAAUUGUUUGAUAUAAUUUAUCAGUUAAAAUGUGUAUGAGCCUGCUGUUGUCAUAUAGGUAGGUUUUCAAGCUAGGAAUAUACUUUCUUUAAUAGGUGCUAUUCAAAUUUUAUAUUUCCUUCAGAGUUAGUUUCAUUAAUUUGUCUUCCAAGGUACUUCUUAGAAGUUGUCAAAUUUAUUUCAAAAAGAGAUUUUUGUAAUAUGCUUUCUAUAUCCUUUUAAAUUCUGUAAAAUCUGUGGCAAUUUCUCCUAGAUCUUGAUAUUGUAAUUUUAGAAAUGUAUAACUGAUAUUGUGUAAUAGGAAGAAAAGGUCUAAAGGAGCAGGGGAAGUGGGAGGGAUAGGGGGAAGGAAAGAAGGGAAAAUAAAAAAUAUGAGAAAAGGAAAAAAAUGGAAACAAAUAGGGAAGCGUGGAGGGGGUGAAGGGAGGGCAGGGGAAGGGGAAAAAAUAAGAACCAAGAUACAUCAUGUAAAGGUACAAGAUCCUAAUGAUGAAUGUAACUGUAUUGUAUACCUAAAAUGUACCAAUAAACUUAAUGGAAAGAAAGAAAAAAGAAAAGAAAACAGAAACUCAAAGCAUUAUGGGGAUCGUGGAUUUUCUUCUUUGCCUCUCUAUCCCCGAACUGCCUUGUUCUUACUUUCAAGUGGCUUAUGGAAAGGAUUAAAAGUGAAGGGUGAAAAUGAAAAAUAGGUGCUGUUUCUAUUGUCAGCCUUGGAAGUUCUGUGAACAGACUGAAAGUUCCUUCAAGGUCUAUGAAAAUAUUAGCAGAUGCCAAAAGGCCAGCAGCCAAGAUUUGUGUCUUUGUGCAGGAACUGAAUAGCUACCAACAGUUAGAAAAAUUUUAAAAACCUUGGCAAUGACAUAAAAGUCCUGUGAAAAGCAGUGAGAUCGAGAGAAAUGCUUUGAAAUAGAUUUAUGAACUUGUAAAAGAAUGUUUUCUACAGAUCCUAAGCCUCUAACUAUAUAGAAAUCUGACAUUUUAAGAUUAAGGAAGAACAUUUAUUUAUUCUCUACAUUAGUAAUAGUGGUUGAAGUAAACCUGAGCUAACUUAGGCCAUUAGAGAAGGGAGGUAAUGUGCAUAAUUGUUAGCAAAAAUUAAUGUUUACAACAAGCAAAUAUGUAAGUAUGUAAAACUAUUCUAGGUUGUCAGAAUAUUAACCCAUGACAUCUUAUAAGCUUUUUAUUAUUUUGGUAGUAAAUUAAUUAGUUACAUUCAGAAUAUUAUAAUUGACCUUCUUAAUUAUUUUAUGCUUCCAGAUAUUUAAAUCACAAAUAUAUGGUUUUGUUCAUCUUUUUAAAAAAUAUAGUCAACAUAAUAAAAAUAUUUAAUCUGUUUAUAAGAAUUGAAAUCAAUGGCAAGAGUUAAAGGUGCUUUUUGUACAAAGGAAUUUGAAUUUUUAAGAUAAAAUAUAUAUGAUAAAGUUGUGGUUCAGGAAAAUCUUUGGGAUUUAAUUACUGAUAAAAUUAUAAAACAUGUGGGCCAAGGAUUUAGCUCAAUGGUGCCACCACCUGCCUCACAAGCGCAAGGUCCUGAGUUCCAUCCCCAGUACCAAAAAAAAAUAUUAUAAAACAUGUAACUACCUCAUUAAUUCUUAGUUAAUAAUUUCCUUCAUUAUAAGCAGAACCCAUAGUUUGAUUUAUCUUUAUGAAGAAUGAAUUUUUAACUUUAUUUUUAUCAGUACAUAUUUGCAGUUCAUAAUGAUCGCAUUCCUCAUGGGGAGUUGGCACAUGUACAUAACACAUCUUAAUUCUUUUUUCAUCCUCUUCCUCUUCCUUCCCUUCCCCUUCCCUACAUCUCUUUGUCCACUUCCCCUUUGCAAAGGAUCUAUCUGUUUCCUAUUAUCUAUCUUUUAUUUUGUUCUUCAAUUUAUUUAUACUUUGGUUUUCUCAUAUAAGAGAAACCAUGCGAUAUUUAAGCUUGGAGGAAUGAAUUUAUUAAUUUUAUUUCUGUAAGAACGUCUAUUAAUAUACUUGGGUGUUAUGUCAGAAAACAAACAGUAGAGGGCACUUUAGUUCUCUAACAAAAUAAGCUUAGUCCAAAAUCUUAUAUAAAUCAAUGAAAUAGACAAUAAAAUUUGAACUACCCAAUAAAGGUUAUAGAAAAGUGAAGGCAAGUUCCUGGCUUCCCAUAGCCUAAUAAAAGAUAUGAUGAGCAGAUGAGCAGCAGUUUCUGUCUUUAGUCAAUCCAAAUAACAAUUGGGUGUCACAUGAAAAAUGCAAAUGUUCUAAGAAUUGCAAAUUAGUGAAUCCAGCAUUUUGAGAACAUUUCAUUUAAAAAACUCACACUUAUUUUAAAUUGGCCAAUCUAUUGAAUGUACUUGAUUUAAAUCAGUAAAUUGUCAUUAUCCAGAAUCGCAAGAAGUAACUAUAGCAGAAGUAGCAUAGUUCAUUUCCUUAGACAUGUUACUUAUUCAUAGUUCCCUCUAAAAUCAUUUUUAUCGUCAUCCUUGUCAUUACUGUCAUAAUCUAAUUUCAUGGUAUAAUGGCUACUUUCACGUAUCUUCCACUUUAAUUUUUCCAAGAUGAAUAUAUGAAACAAAAAUAUCAGAAAAAAAUACAUGAUUAAGUGUAAUUGUAUUGUUCAGUGUGUAAAUGGCUUCAGACAAAUUGUGGUAACUUGUGCAAUUUUCUCGGGCUUAGUUUUUACCUGUCAUAAAUGAAGUUCUAAAUUUAAUGAUGAGAUUCUAUAACAUUGUCAUCUGUUCUUAUUUUGUAUAUUAUUCUAGCAAAUUUAGUUAUCUGUGCCCUAGGUCUCAACAGAUUUGUGGCAAAUCUUAACUGUUUUAGGGCUCAAAGACCCUACAUUUUUAUAAAAGAUAGGGAGCUUAACUGCCUAAAAAUGCUAUAAUGGACACUUUACUCAAAAUGACCAUUCAUUUCAGGAGGUUCAAGGGCCCACAGCAAUCAAUGCAUAGGCUUUACAAACACUACACAAGAAUCUCUGACAGAGGCGAGGGUUACAUGGCUCCUUCGUACACAUUUGGGUGCUUAGUACUAGCAACUUUGGAUGUCACUGUUGCCUCAAGAUGAGCAGUGAAGCCGGAGAGAAUGUUGACAUGCCACAAUUCUGGACUUCAUCCCAUAAACCACAGGGCGUAAUCUGAAGUGUUUAAAUAUACAAGUGGAAAAUGUGCAUUUUAGGAAGUAAAAUCAGAGAAUAGAACAUUUUUAAAAAAUAGAAAGAAAAGGAAAACAGGAAGUAGGAAGACUGUCAGUCUAUUGGCUUCAUAGCUCAGGUGAGAUACAUUGAUAACCUGUUUUUAAAAGUCUUCCAAAAUUAGGUGUGUUCCCUCUUCUAAGAUAGGCCUACUUUAAUCCUGCACAAUAAAUAAAGAGACAAAGUUUUCAAACACUGGAGGACAUUUGGAAACCAUACAAAUGACUGUUUUGCAAUUUGCGAAAUCAUUUUCUACUGGAAGCAGCAGGUAGAUAUUAGCAGCCUUGCUUUUAUGCCCUUUUCUCUAUGUGGAGUACUCCAAAAGCGUAAGCAGCUUAGGAUCCACUGGCAACUCCUCCUGAACAGACUGGCAUGGAGGGCUUUGCUCACCAUCCACAUCCACCUCAGGGACAAGCUCUGACCACUUACGUUACAAUGCUUGCGGCAGAAACAUAAAAUUUAUGGAGGCUGGGUCAGUCAGGAAAUUCCUCUCCAUUGCCAGACAGCUAAACUAAAACAGCAAGCAAGCAACAUUUCUGAAUGGAGAGGUUUAUCACAGGCAUUUAGUAGAAUUAAAUGAAAAAAUAUGUAUCAGGGUCCAUAGAUUGUCUCCUAGAAAAUUUGCAUAAAUCCUUAUAUUGCCACACAUUGUGAAUCUCAUUUGUUUCCUGUAAGGAAGUGGUGAGGAUGGGAUACAGAGGUGGAAUAAGAAGACUUUGACUAAGGGCCUCCAAGAAUGGGGCCAAAAUAAAGCAAAGUCAAUAGAAUUGAAGAAAAUUAGGUUUAAGUAUUUACUCAUUGAGUCUACUCAAAAUGUGUUAUUUAGACUGAUGUAGGAAGUGAAACACAGUUCUAAACUAUUUAUAGAACAAAUCUCACGUGGCUCUUUGGAGACACCCUCCAUACUUCCCCGGGUGGCCCAGGCCACACUCCAGCCUUGUGCCUGUCCACUCCUGCCUCAGGUCUAUGUUCAGUGGACAGCAGGCUGAUGGACACACCCUGCCUCACAAUGUCUCUGUGGCAUGAUGUCCCCUUGAGCCAGAUGCCCCUCCCCUUGACUUUCCACAUGGUACAAUCCUAUUCAUCCCCAAAUCGCAAUCCCAAAGCCAUCUUCUCUUGUUAAACUCAAGUGAGCCCCCACUGUCUACUUCCUGCAAGCAGAAUGGAUCACCUUUCUCUGCCAUCUGGGCCUGUGCUCAGAUGCCAAAUGGCCACCACAACAUCCACAAGUACAAGUAAUACGUCCUUCUUCCCACUGUCUGUCCACUCCUCGAAGAAGGAGCCUGGUCAAAUUCCUGGUGUCCCCCUGCCUCCUAGCACAACAUUGGCACACAUUAAAAAACAGGUCAAUGAAGGACCCUAGUUAGCAAGACAGACUCCAUAUUGCUGUUUGACCCACCUGCCUGUCCUUUAGAUGAACUCAGAAGGAGGAAGCUUAGAAACUUCCUCCCCUUAACAGUUAAUCAACUUUUGUUUUACAAAUGUUCUAACAGCAGGACAUUCUGCUUCUGUACCUUUUGCUUGCUUUACUAGUUCUAUCCCAUAGGGGGGGCCUAGAAACUGUUGGCCCCAAAGGUGUAUAAAACAUGUUUGUCUCCCCCCAGUUGAGGCUGGAGUCUGAUGCUCAGCUCGGGUCCCGGCCGGUAAUAAACUCCUGUGUGGAUUUCAUAUCGGUCUCUGGUUGGUUCUCUCUCCCUGGGUCUAACAGUCAAUAUUUUUUAAAGGAUGGAAUUCUAGUCAAAAGGCUAUUGGAAUAAUCCAGGCAAAAGGCUUAUAUGAGCCUAAAGAUGGAAGAUAGAACUAGGAAAGAAAAUUCAAAACUAUCAAAAUGGAAUAGAAUACAUUAAAUGGGUGAUGAAACACAGAAAUGAGAGAUAAGACCUCGGAGAGGAUUCUGACCAAAUAUUCUGCCUCAAAGUCUGAGAUGCUAUAAACCUGGAAAGAGUAGGACAAAAAGAGAAAAGUUAAUUUCUGUUUCAGACAAGCAGAGGAUGUCCAUGUGGGAGUGUUAAGCAGAGCACUGUGCAUUCAGAAUUGAAGCUGUGAGAGAAGCUCAGGGCUUGGAGCAGGACAGGAACCUGCCGAGCAGGGGCUGCCAAGAGAAGGGAGCCAAUGGCUGCAUUUGGGGUCCUGCCUCUAUUUACCAGAAAUAGGGGAACAAAGAGAAGAACUCUGAUGAGAGAUCAAAUGCAGAACUCCAAGAAAGGAGACCAAAGGUGUGGAAAUUGCCCCUGAGCUACAAGAGGACCAAAGAGGGUGUGGUCAUGGCAACCUCAGAGUGGCUCCUCCUGAACCGUGAGCCCAAAGGGGAAGGGUGGGAUGGGGACAGUGAGCAUGGCAUGCUCCUCAAGCACCAGUCAUAACAGGAGGGAGGAUGCUCUGCAAACUCCAGGAAUCAUUUCUCAUUGUGACCUACAUCGCCUUUUAACUGUAUGUUGUUUUAAACAAGUUUCAUUAAAGUUGGAGUGGCCCAAAGUUACCAAGAUAAAAUUUGCUUUUUCAUUUGUGAUGUUAAAAAUAGAAUCUAUAGAUAAGAUUGGGCUCUCUUUCUCUUUCUCCCUCUCCCUCUCCCUCUCCAUCUGGUACUGGAGAUUGAACACAGGGCCUUUGCAACGAGCAAUGUCCACAGCUUUGAGGCAGGGUCUUGCUAAUUCACUAAAAUUGGCCAGGCUAAGCUUGAUCUUGUGGCCCUCCUGCCUCAGCUGCCCAGAGUGCUGAGAUUACAGAUGACCACCACCAUGUGCAGCUUUUACUUUCUUUUAAAGUACAUCACUUAAUUCUCAAUGUACAUCAACUUAUUUUUGUGAAUUUUUUCCCUAAAAAGAUGAGAAAGAGAGACUAACAGUAAAUCCAGUUGAAUCACAUAUGCUGUCCUGCCUAUCUAGGGUGGGGUCAGGGUAUGAUUGUGAGCCCUUGAAAUGAUCAUUUCUCACCUGGCUUCCCUCCUAGCACUCCAGAUUGCAGGUUGUAUUAUUGUUCAGCAGAGCAAAGGGAGCGCUGGGAUGUCUGCCUUCCUUGCAGCUGAGCACUUUUUAUUGUCUCCCCAACUAGCAGAGAGGUCUGUGGAUUUUACAUCACAAUCAUUCAGGAUCAUGGCUCUCUUUAUCCCAUGCCAUUUCCAGCUCAGUAGGUUUCACUGUACUGAAUUUAGAACUGAAGACUUGUGUGUUUUAAUUUUGUUUUAACUAAUUACAUUUUAAAUGUAUUUUAUGAAGCAGCUUUGGGAAGUUUAUUAAAAUCCAUUUAAAAGAGCCGGGGAUUUAGCUCAGUGGUUUUGCCGCCUGCUGCACAAACGCAAGGACCAGAGUUCUAUCCCUGGUACCAAAAAAAAAAAAAAAAAAAAAAAUCCAUUUAAAAAGAAGGCUUUGCAGAGUUCAAAUAUACUAAAUUAAAUGAAAUAUUCAGGAUUACCUCAUUUAGUUGUUGACUCCCUAGAAAUUAUACCUGGUGGAUUUCUGGAAAGAAAAUGGUUCUUUCCCAGAGGAAGGAAAAGGAAACUAAUGGAAAAAGCUUAAAGAAGCAGAACAAACUGAGGAAGGAGACUCUGCCUCUAGUAAUAGCAGAGGAGGCAACGCCUGCUGAAAACCAGUUUUGAGAAAAGUAUCUUAUUUGCAAUCUACUUAGAUAUAAUUUACUUGCUUGAUUGUUCAGUAUUUAGGAACACAGUAGUGUUUCCCUGCUAGAAUGUGAGCUGCACAAGGCAUGGGUCUUUGUUUUUGCUGCAGUGACCUAAGCCUCCAGAAUAGCAUCCAGCACAUACCAGCUGUCACGUAAUCACUGGUAUCUGGGUGAGUGAAUUAUCUACAAACUCUUCCGUCUUGGAAGUGCUUACUUUCUUCCUCAGAGGAGCUCUCUUUAGGGUCCCUCCUGCACCUCUCCCUCUUCCUGCCCAGUGUCCUUGCAAUGCAUCUGAGUUCCCUGGAGAACAGUCUUAGGAGGCCAUGGUCAGCUCCCCGGAGAACAGUCUUAGGAGGCCAUGGUCAGCUCCCCCUCCACAGUGUAGUAAAGAGAAUCCCUGGGGCACAGUGACGAGAAAGUGAGCCUGUGGCCCUCUUGGUCUUAGCUGGAAAGGAGAGGGGAAUAAAAAAGGAAAACCAAUUCAAGGACUUAAUCCUACUGAGACCACAAACUGGGAGAGAACUUUGAGUGUGGGUGCCACACUGUACCCCAAGUUGCUCUGAUUUGUUGUGGAUUGUCUCAGGACUGAUGGUAAAGGCUGGAGUGAAAGGCUCUGUAGAUAAUAGUCUCUCCCCAUCCCCUUACUGAAAGAGUACACUGGCUACAGUAUUGGAUUGAAAGAGAUAAGAAACUAAGUCAUAAUUCUGAGAUAUCUCAUGACCUGCCUGUCCGCGAGUGACAGCCUGGCUGGCAAAAUCAAAAUGGCCCAAGAAGGGGCACUGUCAAAGCACAAGGGUGCAGGAGAGCAGACAGGAGGAGGUUGUACUUGCUGACCCGCCAGACCCUCCUUCGCCCACCACCUCUCUUCUCCUCUCUUAUCCUUUCUGUAAUCUUUUGCAUACCUAAUUCCAUCCUAGCAUGAGCUUUUUGGAGGACUUGAACUGAUUUACCCUCAACAGCCUGCUAACUAAAAUCCUCCAGUAUCGGUGCUGAAGAAAGAGACUGUGGGUAAAUGUGCUAUCUUCUAAAAGCCUUACUGGGAAUAAUGUACCCCCAAAUGUAGAUGGCAGGUGCCAAUUCUGAUCAUGUGAUGGCAUCACUGAGGGAGGUUAAUGAUCCGUUUCAUAGGUAGCUUUGGAAUAUCUUUAAACCUUUUAAAUAGGUAUAUGAUGUCAGAUGUGUUUGCAAAUCUCCCUGAAGAAGGUGGAGAGCUUUUAGCACAUUCAUCUACAAAGUUAUCAACAGUGCCGGUUAGUUAACUUGGUAGUUUGUUCACAAGUGACGGUAACUUAAAAUCUACAUUACAUAACUUAUUUUAUGCAAUAAUAAUGAUGCUUCUAUUUCCCACCCCAUGCUAAAUGAACUUCAGUUAUCUCUAGAGCUCUGCCAACUAAGACUUCAGUACACAGAGAACCAGUGCUACAUCCUUUACCUAACACCACCCUUUAAAAGAAAUUAUGCCCUAAUUUACAAAGUUCCUAGCAGAAAAGAAAAGUACUUGAGAAAUCAGUAGGUUAAUUUUUUGUUUGGGGACUAAAUCUCAGUUGAAGAUGCUUCAACUCCCAGCCCAGACAGUGCCGCCCAUUAACCCACAGGGAGGAGAGGCGGGAAGCUCCUCCAGCAGCUGUUCUCUGGGACAAUGUUUCCACCAGCAUCACUUCCAUCAGAAGCAGGCAGGACAUCUGUGUCAGCAGCACAAGUGUUCUGUGUCAGCAUCUCUGUUUCACACUACCCGCUAAGUGCAUAAAGUUUAAUUAGACCAAAGGCCAGGAGUGGUUUGUUGAUAGCUCCACCUGGAAGCUAUGGCCUCCUAGGAGAGUAUAGUUCCUGCCCCACCCUAGGGAACCCUCUAUGUCAGGAAAAAGCCAACCGCUCACAGCUCAUGGCUUGUUCCCUACAGGAAACUAUUCUCAAAAAGUAAUAACCUCACCCCUGAAUCUAGUGGAAUAUUUAUGGGGAGCUGGGAAUCCGUAAUUUGUCUGGACACUCACAGACACCUCUGUGCUCUGCUACUGCUGACCUCAGCCAAGGCCCCUGAGUUCAUCCCAGGCAAGUUUAUCUGCUUUCUCUCUGACUUCAGUGGCAGGAGGGAAGCAGACAGCAGACAGCCUGAGCUCUCUGUCAGGCGUCAGGCAGGACUGAGGGAAGGGACAGAUUGUGCCUCUCACAGACAGUGGUGAGAGUCCUAGGAUGAAAUGAGAACUCCCCUCCCUUCCCCUCUUCUCUCAGUGUUGAGUCUGCAUGAAAAAUACUUGCUCUGGAAUCUCCAUUUUUUUCUGUUCCUAGUAGGAUUGAGUGAUCAAUCUUGAAAAAUUCAGAAGAGAUGCUGCAGGGCAGGGAAAGGGCAAUGCAGAUUUUGGUCUUUCCAGUUACCAAGGGGAGAGUUAAACCCAGUAAGUUUUAGAACAUAUCGAAGUACUUGAAAACCUUUUUAAGAAAUAAACAUAAGAGGGGACUUAAUAAAACUGUGCUAAGAGGAGGAGAAAUCAGAGGUUUCGCUGUGAUGAUGACAAUCAGAUACUAACUUCUAACAAAACAGUUACUACCUCCAGCUACUACUUUCCUGACUACUAGCUGAGUGCCUUAUAUUUCCAGAUCUCCUGGAACCUUCUUUUUCUAAGAGGAACAAUCACCUACAUCCUGUGUUAACAUAUCUGUUCUGAAGCUCACACACACACACACACACACACACACACACACACACACACUCCAGCACUUUUAAAGCAUUACUCUUCAUUGCAGAAAUGUCAUAGAAUAGCCAAGAAAUUUAAGACAGUUAUCAUGAUUUAGACCAAGUAAAAGCUCUUGUCUUGGGUUUUAGACAUUUGCUUGAAAAAAUCUCUAUGCCAGGCCCUGACAGAGACUCAGAAAGGACAAUGGAUCAUUUAGUGUGGGGCCACUCAUGUCCUCAACCAGUAGCACUUAGACUAUUCCGCCAAAUGACUGAGUAAACCCCACUAGUUCUUGCAAAAUAUGAUAAACAUGAUUUCUUCUGUUUUGCCAAUGUCUAGUUAAUAUUUUAAAUAUAUACUUUCUUAGCAUUCCCGGAAUUACAGACAUGAGGAUCAGGGUAAAAAUACACAGCAUUCGGUGGCACAUGUUACUUUGUUAAUGCAGAGUAACAGUUUUCACUUGGACUGCAUCUUUUUGAAGGAUUGCAAAGUGCUUUACUCCUGUCACUGCAGAGACAUUAUUCAAUCACUUUGAAGACAUAAAGAACCAAAAAAAAAUCUCUGAAAAUGAAAGAAGAGAAAUGCUUUUUCUACUAAUAAAAAGGAAAAGGGAAGGUCAUAGGAAAUUACAGACUGCUGGUCUUAUAUGAGCACCAAAACAAAUGACCAAAUAAGCCUCUACCACACCUCCUAACUAGCAGUGAACACAACUCUUUAGUGAGCAUCACACCAACUAGGAUUAUGUUGGGCUUUGUUUCUGUUAUGUUUUGUUUUUUGUUUGGAAUCACACUUAAUGUCAACAGGUUUUUGAAUCCAGCAUUAAAUAAACAUGAUGCUAUGCAUGAGGAGUGAGAAGACAUGGGUCUAGCCUUGUCUCUUCCACAUGAUUCCGAGUAAACCUCACUUAUCCCUUUAUUUGAUGGAUUACCCACCAGUAAAUCAGAUAAUACUUUUAACUUGUCAGUGUCUCUUUAACUUCAGCCCUUAAGAAGCUUAAAACUGGGACUCCAAAUCCCUAGGAUAUUUCCAUCUCUAGUAAACACUCCACCUAGACUGGCUACCAGACUCACAGGAUCCCACUGCUGGAAUUCGUCCCUUUGGUAUGGCAGGUUCAGCAUGGAAAAUGGUCACAUCUGAAAUCUAGGGUCCGACUGCGUGUCCCUAGCUGAUCAGUGCAGUGCGCACACUUCAUUCAAACAGGCUCAAUCAAAGGCUUUCUCCCAGGACACCAAAUGGAAAGACAGAAAGACUCACAAAUAUUAAAAAUGGUCAGUUUAGAGAGUCCAGAAGACAUUUUUUAAACUGUGAAAGAAAGGAAUGGAACAAAAAGGAAUGGAAUGGACCGGGAGUGCUGGGAUCCAGAUGUUCAGCUGUACAACUCUCCACCUCCAUCUGGAGUCUGCCAGGUGCCCUCGUGUUCUGAGACCCAGGCCUGUGGGUCAUCCUGAGGGCCCACAAGUGGAUCCUGGCUCCAGGAGGUACCAGGUGAGGGAACCACUUUGCUGACUGCUCAAUGUUUCUUUCAUGGAUCAGAUGAGCUUAGGCUACCAGGAUGAUAUAUGAACACGCUGGUCCCUGUGGGAGAACAUCACUACCAGGAAGAACAAAGUUGGUUUUGUGAGACUUUUGUUACACACUGAUGUUUAUGUUACUCAUAUAAAUAUAUAGAUAUUUGUGUAAAUAUUACAUAUACAGCAUUUUAUAUAAUGUAGAAUUUUUACAAAUAUAUUUUAUGUAUUCAGUUUACAUCAAACAUAUUUGUUACUAUGAGUUGUGGUAAAACAUAUGUUCCUUGGUGAUCUAAAAUACUAGUCCCUAAUAGAUUAACGUGUAAAACCAGUGUUGGUAAAUGGCAAUAGCAGUGCAUAAUACAAUUAAAGUUUAAUUAUCGAAGCCAAAUCAAUAAUUUGGAAAAGGAAGAUAUGAAGGAAAAACAUCUAUAUAAGAUGUUUACUUAUAAUUUCACUCAUGCCAUUUUGGAUGCAUCAGUAAGUCUAACAAGCAGAAUAAAUACAUUAUCCCUUCUAGAACUAGACAGAGCUGGAAACUUUCAGCUCAGCUUGAGACAGACAGGUAGUAAAGGCACGGGUGCACAAGGUCUUCUCUCAAGCAAAACCAACCAAAUUUCCAUCUCAAGGCCCCACUCAAGUGUUGGAGCCUAAAUGCUAAUGCAAAGAUCUCAAAGUCUGACCUUCAUAUUUCAUCACUUCUACUCCAUCUACCAUUUUGUAUUGGCUUUUUCAGGUCUAUCAUGUUAUUGAUCAAUAACUGAAUUUUUAAAUCCUGUAAUUUUAUCAUUUAAUUUAGAUCUCUUAAUUCCAUAUGGAAAAUAAAAUUAGUCAGAAUAAAUAAAUAGAAAUCAAAAACUCGAGCAAUUUUACAUUUGUAUGACUCCAAGACAUCAUAGGUAUGUUUUUAAAUCACUAAUUCCUCCAGUCAGUCAUGUUGAAAGUCAACUUGUUCUGUAAAUGUCUAGUCAAGCCUAAAAAUUCAAACUCUGUGACUCAGGGCUAAAAGGAAAGUUUUAAUGCUUGAAAAACAUCAUCUACCUCAUGAUUUUUUUUUUUUAUUAUCAGCUUACAGGAGCUCAUUAUAUCAGUAUUCAUUCCUCUUCAAAAUGCAUCCAUGACUUACUGUCAUAUGUGCCGUAUCUCCUUCAACUAAAGGUUAUUCUCUUUGAUAUUUCCGAACACACACUCCUUGCUUUAAAAAAUGGAGAGUAACUGACAAGUGUGAGAAAAUAAGCUUAAUCAUCGUAUUUUUUGACACUAGCAUCACUCUUUCUGCUGUUUUUUCUUUGAGACACUGCGCCUCUUUACGCUUGUGCUGGGUCUGCAUGUUUACGACAUCUAUCACCAUAAGCCAUGCCUGCCAGGGUACAGACACGGCGCCAGAGGAUGGAGCGACAUUGCGAGCUGAAGCCCUGGUAGACUGUGUCAGAGUGAGUGAUGGCGGGGAGGCGUGGAGGAGAACAGCAGAGCCUGUGGGUUUCUACAAUGCUUUAUCUAGAUCAGAAUCUGUGCAAACCUCCUGUGUUGAGUGUUUCCUUGAACAUUUUUCAUAUUCAACAGAAACCAAAAUCUCAUUUUUAAGGCUAGAUUGUCCACCACCCCUAGUUAUGCAACGAAGGAUAUUUUUCAGUGUUGUGUUUUCAGACUCGAUGGGUACACAGUGAUUUGGUAUUUAAUUCUAAGCCCACUCAAUUCUUUCAGGAGAGGAUCACAAUCUUGUACGAAAGUGAUAUACCUAAUGGAAAAUUGCAAGUAUUGGCUUUUCACUGCCAUGUCUUUUUUCAUAGAGGGGAACUGAUAGACUCUGCUCCUUUAUUUCACAUUUCUGAGCACAGCUGCAAAAUCCUUUAUGAUUUGCUUCAGCACCUGCUUUGCUUAGCUCUUGAAGCUCUUCCACAUCUACCACAGAUACCAUGCAUCCCAAUCCUUUCAGUUUUCAUCUCCAAUAAACUGUGUCCAGGGAAGUGUGGUAGGGAGAGGGGAGUAGAGAGCCAUGGGCUGCAGUUCCACAUGUACAACCACUUCUAUGUUAGGCUUUGGAAACUGACUCCAAAUGAUAUCACACACAGAGUCACACAAACACACUGACAGGACAUCCGCCAUCCAUACAAGGCUAACUGUGCCCCAUGGCUGAUGGCUUUCUAGAAUAAACCCUGUGAUUUAUUUUGUGAAUAGCAUUUUUGUACGUAUUAAUGUUUUAAUAUAUACCAGGAUCUUCAUAAAAAAUUUUUAUGCCAUUUCCUUCAUUUUUAAAAAUCCAGGACUUUAGACUGGAAGUGGCUGAAAACCAUGUGAGUAAUAUUCUUUCAUACAUCCUUGCCCCGGCACUUGCCAAUUCCUUCCUGCCCUUUGCUGUUUUUAAAGCAUCAGCUCCUUCUUGCCUCUGGCCUGGGGUCAGAAUUUUUUCCUCUGCUCUCAGAGUACAUCUGAAUGGAACCCGUCACAUUCUGCAUUGUAUGUUUUCAUACAGGAGUAUUUACCCCUCUCACACACUGUGAGACACAAAGGCAGAACAUUACUUCUGUUAAACCUGAGUUGCCAAAGCAACAGGUCCUUUUCAUUCCCUUUCUAAAGCGCACAACUGGUAUUCAGGCGGCACUAACCGGUGUGACCAGCUGACAUGGCUUAGAAUUUCUACAGACCUCGUUGUCCCUGUGGAGUUGCAUCUUCAUCAAACGUCUACUGCACUUAUUCUCACAUCUUUAUGCCAGUUUUCCUAGUUACUGUAAGCAUGAAAUUCCAUUGAAUAUUAAACAAACAUAAAACAAGUAAAGCAGAAAUGCAUGUUCUAUUUCUGUGGAAGGUAUGCUGAAAGCUUUGGGAAAACUAAAUAAAGGAAAAUCACAAAUAAUCUUGUGAAAUUCGUUAUGGGAACAACCACUAUCCACAAUGGAGGGAAAGGAUUCUGUGCUCGGAUUGGUCACGGGUGUCUUCAAGUUUGCUCCAUCUUCGAGAAAUCACAGCUGAUAAGUAUGACAUAUGCAUGUUCUGAGAACAUGACAAGCGCUCCAAGCAACAGUUUCAGGCCAACAAGAAGUCUUGCUUUUACAUCCACAUACUGGCAAAUUAAUUUAAGGGACAAUAAAAUGUUUAAGAAUGCCUCUUAAACUUUCUUAGCAAACCUUUAGAGAUGAACUGACAAAUCUUUGGUAAAAGGCCUACUGAACUUUGUCCUAGCUCUUAAGGGUCACUAAGGCAGGGGAAAGAAGUCCAAACCAAACUGAAACUAAGGAAAGCAGGCCGUCCCUCUCUGAUGGCAAAACUGCAAUGUGCACCAAGUGGGCCCACAGCCCAGAGUCAGCUUGUAAAACCAUGGAACUGAUACAGGCUGAGAGAUGGAGACAGAAGCCCAGUCAGUUUAGGUCCAUUGGUGUCAUUCCCACAGCCAGACACACAGCUUUCAUUCUUGCACUGAUUACACCCAUGGCAUGUUAAAUUUUUAAAAUGCUGAAAUAUUAAAUAAAGAUUAUACAUUAAAAUAAAUAUUUUAUACAUUAAAUCAUUUCUAGUCAAUAUUAUUGGACAUCUCCUCUUUGCAGGCUCUAGCAAACAAACCAGGCCACAGCACAGGCCCUCCUGGAACUUAUGGGCAGUUCCCUAAUGGCUAGAAUAGAUUUCAAAUAUAAAUUUUAUAGUUAUUUUACAAUAAUAUUUAUAUUAAUGUAUUCAUUAUGCACUAAGGACUAGCUCCAAUGGGCAUUAAAGAAGGUUAGAAUAUUUUAAGAGAAUGGUCAUAACUCUUUGGUUAAAUGCCAGUGAGAAUAACUGUACACUCCAAAUCAUAUCCCCGUGCCAUUGUCAAACUCGGUCUUUGGUUUGGUGGAAUUAUAAGACUUAAUAAGUAAAGAAAUGUCCUAAAUUGGCAUGGUAUCAGUGUACCAGGAGUAGCCUCAUUUGGUCUGGUUGCUGCCAUGCAGCAGUGCUUGUAGAACUUUAGACCACGUGAGUCUGGAAGGGACCUACCUGAAGGAAGGGAAAGCACAGAGAAGGUAAGUGAGUCCCCCGUUCAGUGAGGUGGCACAGCCAGCAGCUCUGAGCCAGGCCUUUGGAUGCCUAGCAGAUCAUGAUUGUGUGGAAGUGCAUCAAAGGUGGCUUGUUACCAAUAAAAAAGUAGUGACACAUGAACAUUAUGCCUACAUCCACAAAUUAGAUCAAAUGUGUGAUUAUUCCUGUAAUGUGAUGCUCAUUUUAAUUCCAGGAUUUGUUCUUGAGCUGGAGAGAAAAGCAUCAGUCUCUUCCUUGCUAAUAAUGAGCCAGGAAUCGAAUCCUCCCUGGGAAGCCCUUGGGAGAGGGCUGUGCCUAUCAAUAUUACCAGCCAACCACCUCUUGUCACUGGGGAAAUCAAGGCUGAAAAUCAUGUGAGGUGGUUAAAAAAAAAUCCAGGACUGGGCUCCAGUAUCUUGAGAUUUAUAGAAGGUUUUGUUUUAAAAUCAAUUUAUAAUGAAGAAUAAGCUGAAUUCUCAAUCUUCAAACAACAAAAAAGAGAAAUCUUAACACAUGUUUAUUAAAUGGCCCAAGAGGAAGAAACCUAUAUGAACUGAAGCUGCAUCUGUUAUCUCUUUAGAAUCCUUUCUUCUGUCCCUUGAAGAACAAUCACACUGAUCCAGAGGGAAUUUUAUUUUGAUCCUUUGUAACAUAACUUCUGCUUAUUGCAAAAGAGAUUAACAUCUUGCCUGAACUCGGGCUUUGUAAUAUGAUGUUAGAACAUGUCAACUAGUGUCUUAUUCAGAUACCUCAAAUAAGCACGACACUAUGGACUGAGGCCUGCUCCCAUAAGCCUCAAGGUUCCAAAGCUUUCAGUGUCACCAUCGACAACAAAGCAGUCCACAAGCCCCUUGGAAAUGCUCAGACUGCCACAGCAUCCACCGUAGGCCUAUUUAUACUUCACAAUAAAAUCUAAUUUGUAGUUACUGCUGAGAGUUAGGCUGCCUUCAGCCAAAUUCCUAAAGAAAAUGAGGACCUCAGAAGUAAACUUCUUAAACUUCUUAAAACAAGCAUGCAAUCAAAAUUUCCAGCAGCUAUGGGGCUUCCUAAUUCAGCUAAUUUAAUACAUGCUACUCAGCAGUUUUAAGGAGAGAUAUUUUCUAGACUAUAGUGAGAUCUCUUACCAUUAAGGGGAAAAAUUUUGAAUAGAAUGUGAUUCAUAUAAUAUUAAUGACUCUGUCUAAUUUACAGUUUAGUAAUAAGGUUAUUUAUGCUGCCAGAAGCAUUUCAUGACAUUAGCGGUGGAAAGAUAGCGGCAGACAGGAAGGCCAGGCCAGCCCAGUGCCAUUUAGCAAAUGCAGAUCGGCAGCACCCUGCAAGGCUGCACAUGGGACUGUGGCCAAGGACAGUGACCUUGACACCACAGUUUUAUAUGACAUGCAGAAGAAGAGAGAGAGGCUAAGUCAAUCUCUGUCCCAUAUUUUGGAACAAAUGAAGAGCAAAAGUUGUCAUUUAGAUGAACACAGACUAGAUGGAGAUCAACUAGCUGCCUCACCUCAAAUUUACCUCUUUUGCAGAUCAAAUGAAUCCUUUCAAGUUUUAAAGUACAGAUUUUUAAACUAGUUCUUUGCACAUUGGCACAAGCUAUGCUCUUAACCAUGCUAUAUUCACAUGCGUAGAUGCACUGUCUGGUUACACACUGUUUUAUAUUCCUUUAUCUGUGAUAUUUUAUAUUGUUUCCUAUACUCAAUUCUAAGAAGUAAUAAACACAUCUCAUCCAGUGCUUCUCUAUCUCACCUGCCACAGUAGUAAAUAGAAGACUGAUGCUGAAGAAAUAUUUGUAAAUAAAGAAAUACAAUGGCAAAGUCUUGCCUGAGAAAAGCUUAUAAUAUAGUCAUUUUCCAUGAUCAGAUAUAAGUUCUACAAAAAGAAGGAAGUGAUGGCAUAAAUAAUUCAAAAUAGUGGAUAACUGGAAAGUCAUUGAUAUUGUACUUUGAAAUGCGUUAAGGCUGGCCACAAGUUUAUAGGGCCAUUUAUUGCACAGCCAGCAAAGGAUGAGCCUUGUGCUGUGUUAAGCAGAAAGAUGAAAAGGGCACGACAUACUUUGUCUACGCGCCACUCGUCCUCCAAUUCCUCAUAGCAUUCCAAUACCCUCCUAUGGGGCCUGCCCUGUUAGAUGCAGUGCUGCUGGACAGUGAUCUAGGCACCACUUCAGGCUCCUUCAUCUAAACUCCCUGCUCCUCCCUGGCCCACACAGGGGCUGGUUUAUCUCUUACACUCAGCCACUUACAUCCUCUUUUCCAGUACUUUGCAUUUCAGGCCCUGUCAUACAAAAGCAGAAAAGAAAGGGAACUCCCUGGCACUGAUGCCUACAUGGGCUGUUCACAGGGUCUGCUUCCAAGAACUUCUGGAGAUACCGAAGUGCUGCAAGUAUCGAGUAUGGUUCUUGUGAUUUACCUAUAGUUUCUAAUGAAUUCACUUAAUAGAAUUCAUUAAAGCGAUUUGCUAUUGUUUGUACCUUUCCUGCUGUGUGGGGCUAGUGCUUCCCUUAGAACUGUAGAAAGUGAAAUCCAGGUCGCAGGUGCAGAGUGCCACAGUAGAGUCUGAGAGGAGCCCAGGAGUAGAGGCAGGGUCAGAGAAGGUAUGGGAUAAGGAAGAAAGGUGCUGCUGUGCACUAGUCAAAGGGAAGCAGUAGGCAAGGGAUAAAGACAGGCAGGAAAUGCUGGCAACCACAGAAAGAAGCGCAUGAGCCCUGAAGUUUCAGAUUGCUGCAGCCUCUGAGCUAGCUGAGACCCUGGGGCCAGGGCCGGUUCUUAACCCUCAGCCCUGAGUAUGCUUCCAUGGAACUCUGUCACUUUAAAGAAGCCCUGUGUAUUCUUUCAAAACUUUCAAAAGCAAAAUAUACUGGCCAAGGUAUGGGCUCUGGGGCCCAAAUGCCUGAAUGCAAAUCUCAGUUCUUAUUUAAAUUUUUUUAUCUCUAAAUUGAGGCUAAUCGUACCUCAUAGGAUUUGGAUAAAAUUAUAACAUAAUAAUCCAAGCAUAGCUCUCAGUGCAAUGCCAUUCACCAUAUCCUACAAAAACUUUCCUCUCCGGUUGUCUUUACUUUCUCCCCUCCUCUUUCAGAGAGUCCAUGUUCCUGGGAGCUCAGGGCCUCUCCCUCAGCCCCUCCAGCAGCUGGGCCAGGCACUCUGAGCAGCCCCUGAGGGUGCCUCUUGGUCCUUCCUGACUUGAGAGGGGGCCUUAAACCCCUGUGGAGCAAACUGAGCCGCAGGGAAGAGAAGAGAGAGAGGCAGGUGGGGGAAACCCCUCCAUCCCCGUGUUGCUCCGGUGACCUGUCUUCGGGAGUCUCCAGCUGACUUGCUGAAGGACCCGCUUUCCAGUUUCCCUUCUUCCUCACUUGCACUUCCCUGCACCUCCCAAAUACUGAGAUUUUAAAAUUCCUCCUUGCUUUAAUUUCUACAUCCCAGAUCAAGACAACCGUUAUUAGGAUUGUUAUUACUUGAACCAAAUUUGUGGGUCUCCCUCACUUGAAACCAAAAUACCAAAAUAAAACAAUGGGGCAGAAUACACAUCUUACCGCAAAACCAGAUACUGAAAAACAGAAAAAGUGCUCAGCCACUCAGCACUGUGACCUAAGGAUUUUUUUAGAGGUUACUAAAGGUAUUUUUUUUCUUUUUGGUGCUGGGGAUUUGACCCAGGGCCUUAUGCAUGCUAAAUGUGCUAUUGCUGAGCUACACUUCCAGCCCACGAUGGUAAUUUUGAAGAAUAAACGCUUCUUAGAAUAGUUUACUAAUAACUAUAAUAACUUACAACAAGAUGCUUUCUGUUAAAAGCUCUGAUUUUUCAAGUAUAUGUAGAAACAAAUUCUUAGAAAAAUAAACAUUUAUCUCCCCCCUUCUUCCCUCCUGCACCUGAGAAAACUUCAUAGGCCAUUUACCUAUAUCUUCCCCAUAAAUUGAUGCUCAAAAUUUUAUCCUCUUGAAAAGAAGCCCAUGAAGGAUCAUAGUUUGCAU
Molecule: long non-coding RNA, 28837 nt
Filed under: Heterocephalus glaber (naked mole-rat)
Lineage: Eukaryota; Metazoa; Chordata; Mammalia; Rodentia; Bathyergidae
Description: lncRNA (ENSHGLG00000036117.1)
Source: RNAcentral